UUUAAUUGGUAAAAUAUAUAUUCCAUAAUUUAUAAACUACAAAUUGAUUUAUAAAAACAUAGCAGUCUUAAAACAAUGUUACAGGUAAGGAUCAACAACGAAUCAAAAACAAUAGACAAAACUUUGCAUUUUGAUCAUGCGAUUUGCAAGUAUUUUCUAUUUGUCUUGAAGCUCAGUAGCCAUUUUAUCUUGUGAAGUUUUUGGAGCCUGCACAUAACUCAUCAGUUCAGUGCCAGACCUAGACAGAUUGGGUGAGUUGGAGCAAGCUCUGCAUUCGCAAUAUGGAGCGUCACGGGAGUGUCUGAAACCCCUUUACCAGAUCCUGCAACACAUGUCAACUACUUAUCACAAUCAAAACUUAUUUUGGUUCACUCUUGAUCAUACAACACUAAAGUUCAUCACAAAGCAAAACUAAUCUAUCAUCAUGAAGCAAAACUAAUCCAUCAUCAUGAAAAAUAUAAUAUCCCUAAAAGCCGAGAAAAGCUAGUCAAACACAAAUUUACAUUUACAGACAAGCUUCAAGUCUCCAUGAAUUAAAUGAGUAAUAGGAUAUCAACUGAUACACUAAAAAAAGAAGGUUUAACAUUUACCUUGAGGUCUUGACGAUCUUGCAGUUUAGGAACAAUGUCUCUGUGUUUCAUGUCAUCAUAAACUUCAUCAAAUGCAAAAGCAGAAGGAUCCUCCUCCAAUGUUUUCUUAUGCUUGCAACUAUAUCCACAAGUUGCUUCAGGUGGAUAGUUUCCGUACCUGCAGAAAAAUGACCACGAUUAGCGCUCUUUAUUUGUAACAUAUUCUUCUAAGUUCGAACCUUAUAUCUACGUUAGAAAAUAUCAAACGAUAACCUUAGCUACACUGUGACCCAACCCUUCAGCUAAUCUAUCCUGCUCCUUGCCUGAACAUAGGGUUAUACCUAACACAAAGAACUGAAACAUAAAACUUGAAUCCUCAUUACAGAAACAGAACAAAGAAGGGACGAUUGGAUGUUCAAAAUCUCCAUAUAAGAAUGAUAGAGCUUAAUCCGCCAUUAGCAUCGUCAAAAGGGAUCUUUUUCUAGCUAUUGAGAACUCUACACCAAUCCAAGAUUAUCCCAAAUACCAAAAAAUUGCAGAGAUUCAUCAAAAGGGAAUUUUUUUUCUCGACAAUAUGAAAGGAUUUAUGGGUCUAGUGUGGCUAAACACACACAAUGAAAUGUGACAUCGUCCUAAUGAAUCUCCAUACAAAUCUUGUUUGAUGCACCAAGAAGAUAGAUGAGAAGAUGAACAGAAAAAAAAUGAAGUUUUAAAGUUUAUGUUUAGGGAUUAGGGUUUAAACCCUAAAAUCUAAAACUUAAACACAGUCCUCAAAACUUAAAUAUUUUCUUAUUUUAAUCUUAGAUUUUAAGUUUCAUUCAAAAUUUAUAUUUUUAUAAAUUUAAUUUCAAAUAUUAAUUUUAAACCUCAAACCAUAAACUAUACUUAUAUAUAUCAUAUCCCAAAUUUAUCAUAUACCAUAAACUAUAACUAAAAAUUUUAAAACUCUUUUCAUUAGUUAAUUUAAAAAUUUAAAUUUAAUCUAAAAGUUUGGUCUUAAAUCUAAUUAAACCCCGAGACACUAUACUCCAAACCCUAUAAUUAUAUGAAAAUCUUUAAUUUAUUUAAAUAGGAACUUUAUAAAUAUAAAAUAUAAUUUAAUUUUUAAACAUAAAUAUCACUCCUUUGUUAAUCCUCCUUUUAAUUGGUAAAAAAUAUAUUCCAUAAUUUGUAAACUACAAAUUGAUUUAUAAAAACAUAGCAGUCUUAAAACAAUGUUACAGGUAAGGAUCAACAACGAAUCAAAAACAAUAGACAAAACUUUGCAUUUUGAUCAUCUGAUUUGCAAGUAUUUUCUAUUUGUCUUGAAGCUCAGUAGCCAUUUUAUCUUGUGAAGUUUUUGGAG
Molecule: long non-coding RNA, 1914 nt
Filed under: Brassica napus (rape)
Lineage: Eukaryota; Viridiplantae; Streptophyta; Magnoliopsida; Brassicales; Brassicaceae
Description: long non-coding RNA (BNAP_LNC019693)
Source: RNAcentral